RNAcentral lists this ribosomal RNA (477 nucleotides) under uncultured Vibrio sp. RNAcentral describes it as "bacterial SSU rRNA". It matches the Rfam family "Bacterial small subunit ribosomal RNA", at positions 97 to 570 of the family's 1533-position model. Lineage: Bacteria; Pseudomonadati; Pseudomonadota; Gammaproteobacteria; Vibrionales; Vibrionaceae. The record is from RNAcentral.
GGCGGACGGGUGAGUAAUGCCUGGGAAAUUGCCCUGAUGUGGGGGAUAACCAUUGGAAACGAUGGCUAAUACCGCAUGAUGCCUACGGGCCAAAGAGGGGGACCUUCGGGCCUCUCGCGUCAGGAUAUGCCCAGGUGGGAUUAGCUAGUUGGUGAGGUAAGGGCUCACCAAGGCGACGAUCCCUAGCUGGUCUGAGAGGAUGAUCAGCCACACUGGAACUGAGACACGGUCCAGACUCCUACGGGAGGCAGCAGUGGGGAAUAUUGCACAAUGGGCGCAAGCCUGAUGCAGCCAUGCCGCGUGUAUGAAGAAGGCCUUCGGGUUGUAAAGUACUUUCAGUCGUGAGGAAGGGGGUAUCGUUAAUAGCGGUAUUCUUUGACGUUAGCGACAGAAGAAGCACCGGCUAACUCCGUGCCAGCAGCCGCGGUAAUACGGAGGGUGCGAGCGUUAAUCGGAAUUACUGGGCGUAAAGCGCAU